Marmota monax (woodchuck) is the source of this 1353-nucleotide long non-coding RNA. RefSeq lists it as uncharacterized. The transcript has 3 exons. The record is from RefSeq and is a predicted model, not a curated record. Lineage: Eukaryota; Metazoa; Chordata; Mammalia; Rodentia; Sciuridae.
CUGUGGUCAUGUUUAUAAAAAUAAAAAUAACAAUAAUUCAUUAUUAUGUUAUGAAUGAUGUCUUUUGGAAGUCAAAACUGUCAACCAAUAAGCUAUAUAAAACUAUGGUGUACCACAGCAUACUAUAGCAUAGCAUAGCAUAGCAUACCAUACCAUACCAUACCAUAGCAAAACUAUAAUUUCUUUAUCAUUCUAAUGUAUUGUUUUCUAGUCUUCCUUCUAGGUACAAUUUUGUGGGUCUAGCUGAGCACCUGUAAUCUAAACAUCUAAAAUCUGAUUGAGUGUGUCAAUGCUCAAAAAAAUUUUGGAUUUCAAAUUUUUCAAGUUAGAGAUACUGAAUCAGUAAAGUCUAUGAAAAUAUUCCAAAUUCUGGAAAAUUCUGAAAUAUUUCUGCUCCCAAGAAUUUUAGAUGGAAAAUUCAACUACCUACUCUUGGGUGUAAAGGCUAGCCUCCCAAUUUUGAGUCUUGGCUUCUCAAUGGAAAAUGAGGACAGCAUCAAAGCAGUUUUUCCCAGGAUGGAUCUACAAUACGACACCAAAUUGGCAGCCAGCUGCAUUAGGAGACCAGCAGAAACUCUGGCAGCCAACCUAUAAUGCCAAUGGCCACAGCUCUGAGGGAAAUCCUGGCCAACAGGGAAGAGAAGUGGAGGGAGAUGAAAUGAAAUUGGUUCUCAACCCUGGAAUCCUAUCUGCCUCUGGACUUGUUAUUUUGGGUAACAAAUCACCUUAUUAUCAAAACAAGUGUUAAUUAGAAUUCCCCAUUUCUGACUGCUGGAUGGCAUUAAACUGGGGCAGCUGUCAUCCCAUCUUGUGGAUCUGUUUAUCAUCACAAUCAAUCAUCGCACCGUGCUACAGUUUUAUUGUGGAUUUUUCAUUAAAUUUUUAUCUCCUAAAAAGUAAGGACUAGAAUUACAGAUUCUAUAAUUGGCCUCAAUAUUUUUAAAAUUGAGUUCUCCUUUCAUUAAUCUAAAAUUCAAUGCAAUGAAGUUUAUGUAUGAUGGCAAACACAUGUAAUAGCCAAACAUUAAAAGAAUUUCCACCAAAAUCAGGAGCAUGACAAAAAUCUCUCACUACACAGCAAUAUAAUUCUAGGGGCCCUAGAUAAUACAAUAUGAUAAAGACAAAAAUAAGAAGUAUAAAUAUUAGAAAAGAUAUUAAGCUCUAUUUUUAGAUGAUAGGAUUAUCUAUAUGAAAUAAAGAUUAAAAUAAACUGAGGGAGGACUGGGGUUGUGACUCAGUGGUAGAGCGCUUGCCUUUCAUUUGUGAAGCACAGAGUUCCAUACUCAGCACCACAUAUAAAUAAAUAAAGAUCUAUUGACAACUAAAAAAAUAUUUAAAAAAUAAAUAAAUAAA